This 450-nucleotide ribosomal RNA is filed under the name uncultured Glomeromycotina. Its description in RNAcentral is "SSU rRNA". It matches the Rfam family "Eukaryotic small subunit ribosomal RNA", at positions 569 to 1022 of the family's 1831-position model. Lineage: Eukaryota; Fungi; Glomeromycota. The record is from RNAcentral.
AGCAGCCGCGGUAAUUCCAGCUCCAAUAGCGUAUAUUAAAGUUGUUGCAGUUAAAAAGCUCGUAGUUGAAUUUCGGGGUUAGUAGGUUGGUCAUGCCUCUGGUAUGUACUGGUCUCACUGAUUCCUCCUUCCUGAUGAGCUGUAAUGCCAUUAAUUUGGUGUUGCAGGGAAUCUGGACUGUUACUUUGAAAAAAUUAGAGUGUUUAAAGCAGGCUAACGCUUGAAUACAUUAGCAUGGAAUAAUGAAAUAGGACGUUCGAUCCUAUUUUGUUGGUUUCUAGGAUUGACGUAAUGAUUAAUAGGGAUAGUUGGGGGCAUUAGUAUUCAAUUGUCAGAGGUGAAAUUCUUGGAUUUAUUGAAGACUAACUACUGCGAAAGCAUUUGCCAAGGAUGUUUUCAUUAAUCAAGAACGAAAGUUAGGGGAGUCGAAGACGAUCAGAUACCGUCGUA